AGUGAACGCUGGCGGCGUGCUUAACACAUGCAAGUCGAACGAGGACGGGUUACAGCUUGCUAUAAUUGUCAGCUAAGUGGCGCACGGGUGAGUAAUGUAUAGGUAAUAUGCCUCUUACUAAGGGAUAACAAAUGGAAACGUUUGCUAAUACCUUAUACUCCUUAUUAACAUAAGUUAAUAAGGGAAAGAUUUAUUGGUAAGAGAUUAGCCUGUAUUGUAUCAGUUAGUUGGUGGGGUAAUGGCUUACCAAGACUAUGACACAUAACUGGUUUGAGAGGAUGAUCAGCCACACUGGAACUGAGACACGGUCCAGACUCCUACGGGAGGCAGCAGUGGGGAAUAUUGCACAAUGGACGAAAGUCUGAUGCAGCAACGCCGCGUGGAGGAUGACACAUUUCGGUGCGUAAACUCCUUUUAUAUGAGAAGAUAAUGACGGUAUUAUAUGAAUAAGCACCGGCUAACUCCGUGCCAGCCGCCGCGGUAA
This 484-nucleotide ribosomal RNA is filed under the name uncultured bacterium. RNAcentral describes it as "partial 16S ribosomal RNA". It matches the Rfam family "Bacterial small subunit ribosomal RNA", at positions 29 to 523 of the family's 1533-position model. The record is from RNAcentral.